AGAACGAACGCUGGCGGCAUGCCUAAUACAUGCAAGUCGAACGAACACUUCGGUGUUAGUGGCGCACGGGUGCGUAACGCGUGGGAAUCUGCCCCUUGGUUCGGAAUAACAGCGAGAAAUUGCUGCUAAUACCGGAUGAUGACGUAAGUCCAAAGAUUUAUCGCCCAAGGAUGAGCCCGCGUAGGAUUAGCUUGUUGGUGAGGUAAGAGCUCACCAAGGCGACGAUCCUUAGCUGGUCUGAGAGGAUGAUCAGCCACACUGGGACUGAGACACGGCCCAGACUCCUACGGGAGGCAGCAGUGGGGAAUAUUGGACAAUGGGCGAAAGCCUGAUCCAGCAAUGCCGCGUGAGUGAUGAAGGCCUUAGGGUGUAAAGCUCUUUUACCCGGAUGAUAAUGACAGUACCGGAGAAUAAGCUCCGGCUAACUCCGUGCCAGCAGCCGC
RNAcentral lists this ribosomal RNA (443 nucleotides) under uncultured soil bacterium. RNAcentral describes it as "bacterial SSU rRNA". It matches the Rfam family "Bacterial small subunit ribosomal RNA", at positions 26 to 518 of the family's 1533-position model. The record is from RNAcentral.